UAUUUUGUUCAUAUUUAUUUCAAAAUUAUUCAGUCUUUUUGCUACCUAUUUUCCUAUUCUUUGUUUAUUAGCUUAUCAUAAGCCAGAACCAAUUAUUGUAGACACAACUAGAACAACUAGAAUUUCUAGAUUAAAAGACUUAAGAUCGCUAAUGUAUCCAGGGGUAGAUAGUGUCCCCUCCAGUGUCCGCCAACAUAUUUAUCACUUAGUCAUGAUUUUAAGUUUAUUGUGUAUAAUACCCGCUAGCCUCCCUAUUUAUGCUGAUUUCUAUUGGUAUCAAACGGUAUUGUAUAAGUACAAUUUAUUAGAGAAGUU
Molecule: non-coding RNA, 315 nt
Organism: Cinara cedri
Lineage: Eukaryota; Metazoa; Arthropoda; Insecta; Hemiptera; Aphididae
Source: the annotation of a GenBank genome assembly